Non-coding RNA from Benincasa hispida (wax gourd), 1055 nucleotides. NCBI's taxonomy places the organism in Eukaryota, Viridiplantae, Streptophyta, Magnoliopsida, Cucurbitales, Cucurbitaceae. The record is from RefSeq and is a predicted model, not a curated record.
UAUUACAUAUGAUAUGAUAUUAAAACUAUAGAUUAUAAAUAUAAUAUGAUAAAUUAGUUAUUAUAUUUAUUUAUAAUUAAAUCAAUUAUAAGAUAAAUGAUUUUCGAUUUUUUCUCCUAAUAACCGAAUUAGUGGGAAGUUAUAAUCAGUUUUUGAUAACUGAUGGAUAAAAUGAAAAUCGUUUUCAUUGUUUCAUAAUUGAAUGCACAGCAAGAAAAAGCUACAUGAUAGCGUUGAGAGAGUAAACGAUCAAGCAUCGAGUUUUUUUAAACGAUAUCUACCCGCUACUAAACAAUCGAGUACCCAAGUUUAAACGAUAGACUUCUACCUUCUCCCACUUACUCGAUUGUCUACACGAUUGUUCAGUUCCUUCUUCCCUCUAUCAAAUCCAAACAAAGUCCACACCUCAUGGAUUCUCACACCGAGAAUAUCAAGUUAGUCUCGUGGUAGUGUCAAGUUUGCAUUCAAGGGUCGAGUAUCGAGUUUAACUCGAUUGUGUUUGAGGAUUCUACAGUUCUUGUUGUUCACUGGUUUGCUCAUGCUGCGUUCGUGCUGUUGGACUCUUGGCUGUUUGAUCGAGGAAGUACUAGAAGAAAAGAUUCUUUAAGGCUUCAAAGUAUGGAGAUGUUGUUCACAUCAAGGAAGGAAACCAAGGGUUGGUCGCAUCGUGUAGUCCAGGCUAAACGAUCGUUUAGAUUUAUUGACAAUCCUCACUUAUCUAUUAAAAAAAUAUAGUGUUAUAUAUACUAACAAAUAUAUAUAUAUAUUAUAUAUAUAAUAUAUAUAUAUAUAUAUAUAUAUAAUUGAGCAAUGGGAGAGCUUGAAGAAAUCAAGGGAGAAUUUAUUUAUGUUUGAAUACUCACUUAUCUCAGGUUUAGCCUAGCAAAUAUUUCAAGGAGUAGUAAAGUUUCCUCCAACAGUUUUUCAAUUCCUACUUUCCUCUUUAAUAAUUUAUUCUCUAUUAUUCAUUUAUAGAGGUGAAGAAAAAUAUUGGUAAUAAGUAUCAGUAGAUGAACUGACUACCUGGUUUGAAUGAAGAUCCAAGGGUUCUCAAA